UUGGAGGGCAAGUCUGGUGCCAGCAGCCGCGGUAAUUCCAGCUCCAAUAGCGUAUAUUAAAGUUGUUGCAGUUAAAAAGCUCGUAGUUGAAUUUCGGGGUCAGUAGGUUGGUCAUGCCACUGGUAUGUACUGGUCUCACUGAUUCCUCCUUCCUGAUGAACUGUAAUGCCAUUAAUUUGGUGUUGCAGGGAAUCUGGACUGUUACUUUGAAAAAAUUAGAGUGAUUAAAGCAGGCUAACGCCUGAAUACAUUAGCAUGGAAUAAUGAAAUAGGACGUUCGAUCCUAUUUUGUUGGUUUCUAGGAUUGACGUAAUGAUUAAUAGGGAUAGUUGGGGGCAUUAGUAUUCAAUUGUCAGAGGUGAAAUUCUUGGAUUUAUUGAAGACUAACUACUGCGAAAGCAUUUGCCAAGGAUGUUUUCAUUAAUCAAGAACGAAAGUUAGGGGAUCGAAGACGAUCAGAUACCGUCGUAGUCUUAACCAUAAACUAUGCCGACUAGGGAUCGGAUGAUGUUAAUUUUUUAAUGACUCAUUCGGCGCCUUACGGGAAACCAAAGUGUUUGGGUUC
This 565-nucleotide ribosomal RNA is filed under the name uncultured Glomeromycotina. RNAcentral describes it as "SSU rRNA". It matches the Rfam family "Eukaryotic small subunit ribosomal RNA", at positions 548 to 1114 of the family's 1831-position model. Lineage: Eukaryota; Fungi; Glomeromycota. The record is from RNAcentral.